Neopsephotus bourkii (Bourke's parrot) is the source of this 551-nucleotide long non-coding RNA. RefSeq lists it as uncharacterized. The record is from RefSeq and is a predicted model, not a curated record. Lineage: Eukaryota; Metazoa; Chordata; Aves; Psittaciformes; Psittacidae. The transcript has 3 exons.
CCUCUACAGCUUUAAGUAAUUAAAAGGGUAGAUGUUCUCUGCUUUUGAAUUGGCUAGGUUAAAUGGUCAGUAAAUUGGGCUGGUGGUUCCUGGUUGUGGAUGUAAACGUAGGAGUUAACAAAGUUUCAGGGGUAGCUUAUCCACUUGGGUAGUGUAUGCCUCUUCCAGAUAGAAGCAAUAACAUCAGAGAGCUGUAGAUUCUCAUUUCCAGGUCAUGUGGCAAGGCAAUGGUGAGAGGAAAUGUGAUCAGAAUAAAGAAUAUGGUGUUCCCAAAAAGCAGAACUUUUUUUUCUUUUCUUCAUGGGACAACUUUCCCUAGCCUCUGCUUGUUUGAAUGCCUGUAAUUCGCUUAAAGGAGCAAGAAACACCAGCCCACCACUAACAAAAUGAAGUCUUAUGUAAGGAUAAGGGUAACUGAAAAUGACCCAACAUUUUGGGCCCAACUGACCUUUAUCAAAGUCAGACUCCUGGCUACGGCGAGUUAUUAAGGCUAAACCUGUAUAUUCUGUACUGUCCUUGAUAAAGGUCACGUGAGACUAAAUGUCAGACCU